Long non-coding RNA from Girardinichthys multiradiatus, 315 nucleotides. RefSeq lists it as uncharacterized. NCBI's taxonomy places the organism in Eukaryota, Metazoa, Chordata, Actinopteri, Cyprinodontiformes, Goodeidae. The transcript is spliced from 2 exons. The record is from RefSeq and is a predicted model, not a curated record.
ACUUCCUACUCCCAAGCCUCAGGAAAACGAACCCUGCUCAUCCUCCACCAGAACUCAAAACUCACCAGGUGCUCUUUUCUGUACAGACUGUCAAGCUAACUCUUAGUUUAUCAGUGCUCAGUCAUACCCUCUCCAGUGUGACAACCACUAACCUCAGACCGAAUCCUCAACCAAGCAGCAGCUCUUGGAACCAUCCUCUCAGGCUCCACGUCACUCCUCCACAGACCAACCUCCACUACAUUUCCUUUUGGCGUUUCCAGUCCCGGGCCCCAUUCCAUAAAUCUGACCAGCAAGAAAUAAACCUGUUAAACUUUC